RNA transcript from Cebus imitator (Panamanian white-faced capuchin), 5157 nucleotides. It is a transcript of the gene named forkhead associated phosphopeptide binding domain 1, with no coding region annotated. The record is from RefSeq and is a predicted model, not a curated record. The transcript has 34 exons. NCBI's taxonomy places the organism in Eukaryota, Metazoa, Chordata, Mammalia, Primates, Cebidae.
CGGACGGGCGCGCGGGGUGCCGGGUGCCGGCUGGAGACUCCGUGGGAGCGCGGCCGGGAGGCCUCGCCCCGGAGCGGGCCCGGCGCCUCCCGAGCUGGCAGGGCCCUCGGCGGACGGCGUAGCGUGGGCUUCCUCCUCCGACCAGGGAAAACAGAGAGAAUGAAAGCCUAUCUGAAGAGCGCAGAAGGUUUUUUUGUCCUAAAUAAAAGUACCACAAUUGGAAGGCAUGAAGAUUCAGACCUUGUUUUACAGUCCCCUGACAUCGACAACCACCACGCGCUCAUCGAAUAUAACGAGGCGGAGUGCAGCUUUGUUCUCCAGGACUUCAAUUCGCGCAGCGGCACGUUUGUCAACGAGUGCCACAUUCAGAACGUGGCUGUGAAGCUCAUCCCUGGGGACAUCCUGAGAUUUGGGUCUGUGGGGCUGACCUAUGAACUGGUCAUCGAAAACCCACCCCUGGUCUCCUACCCAUGGAUGAGGGGCCCAGCACCAUGGCCAGGGCCACACCCACCUCAUGCCACACAGCGGCCGAACCAGGGCACCCCGCCACAUAUCCCCUUCCACCAGGGCAUCCAGCCAGCACCAGUGCAAAGGAGCUGGUCCCAGGGCUUCCCCAGACCCACCACGGUCCCCCUAGCCUCCCACCGGCGGCCUGCGAGCGCCAGAGAGGAGAUGUUCUCAUUCGUGGUGGAUGGUGCCCGCAAGCCCUCCAUCAUCAAGCAAGUGUGGACCAAUGCCAGGAAACCGUCAGAACAGUCAGUGGCCGAGGGGAUUCCUGAGGUUCCCAGCGCGGAGAUUUAUAUGGAGCAGGACCUGGCCCAGCAGGACAAGGAUGAAAUAAUUCUCCUGCUGGGAAAAGAGAUCAGCCGUCUCUCAGAUUAUGAAAUCGAAUCCAAAUAUAAAGACGUCAUAAUAGCAAACCUGCAGAACGAAGUGGUGGAGCUGAGUCAGAAGCUGUCAGAGACCUCCACCUCCAGGCAGACUGAGAGGGAGAUCACGCAGAAGUGUCAGGUUCUGGAUGAAGACAUCGACAAACAGAAAGAGAUCCAGAGCUUGAAAAGCCAGAUCAGUGCCCUACAGAAAGGCUACAGCCAGGUGCUGUGCCAGACCCUGUCCGGGCGGAACUCAGAAAUCGCAUCCCUGAAGAAUGAGGGGGAAAAUUUAAAGAGGGACAACGCUAUCGCAUCAGGGAUGGUGUCAUCUUUGCAGAAAGACAUGUUAGCAAAGGAUGAGCAAGUUCAACAACUAAAGGAAGAGGUCAGUCAACUAAAAAGUCAGAACAAGGACAAGGAUCACCAGCUGGAAGCCCUUGGCUCUAGAUGCUCGGUGCUAAAGGAAGAGUUAAAGCAGGAAGGUGCUCACAGGGAGCUCAGGGAAGCCCAGGAGAAAGAGUUAAAACUCUGCAGAACCGUUGAAGAGAAGCUUCAGGAGGAUUCCAGAAGGAAACUGCUUCAGCUGCAAGAAAUGGGGAACAGAGAGAGCCUCAUUAAAAUCAAUUUGGAGAGGGCAGUAGGUCAGCUAGAGCACUUCAGAAGUCAAGUCAUCAAGGCCACCUACGGACGGGCAAAGCCAUUCCCAGACAAGCCUGUCACCGACCAACAGCUAAUAGAGAAAAUCACCCAGAUCACUGAGGACAACAUCAGUUUUCAGCAGAAAAAGUGGACCGUGCAGAAGGAGACCCAGCUCAGCAACUCCAAGCGGGAGGAGACCACAGAGAACAUUGAGAAGUUGAGGACGUCGCUGGAGAGCUGCCAGGCUUGCAUGACGUCCUGCUGUGGCAGUGACCUGAAGAAGGAGGUCGACCUUCUUCAGCACCUCCAGGUGAGCCCACCUGUCUCAGGGCUCCAGAAGGCGGUUCUCGACAUCCUGAGGCACGCGCUGUCCUGGCUGGAGAAGACGGAGCAGCUCCUCCGGGACCUGCGGAUCCCGCCCUCCAGCACCGACAAAGGGUUCUCUUUGUACCUGAUAUAUCUUCUGGAACAUUAUAAAAAACUUACAAGCCAGAUCCAGGAACUUCAGAGCAAGUUCAGUUCUCAGGAAACUCAGCAGUCUUUACUGCAAGAAAAGCUGCAGGAGCAUCUGGCAGAGAAGGAGAAGCUGAACAAGGAGAUGCUAGAGCAAGAGGAGAAGCUGAAUGCCAAAAUCAGGCAACUGAUGGAAGAGAGGGCGGCUUUGGAGGAAGGCAUUACUCAGGAGAGAAACAGAGUGAAAGAGACUUUAGAGAAAGAACUGAAGAGAAGGCAAGAGCAGGAGGACCUCCUGGCCCAGCAGAAGAAGGCUUUGGCGGAAAGCAUUACCCAGGAGAAGAAGAGAGUGAAGGAAGCAUUAGAGGAAGAACAGACAAGAGUCCAAGAGCUGGAGAACUGCUUGGCCCGCCAGAAGGAGGUUUUGGAGAGCAGCAUGGCCCAUGAAAAAAGGAGAGCAAAGGAAGCCUUGGAAUCGGAAAAGAGAAAAGUUCAGGAUCUGGAGAACCACUUAACCCAACAGAAGGAGAUCUCAGAGAGCAGCCUUGCCUACGAGAAACACAAAGCAAAGGAGGCCAUAGAGAAGGAAAAGAAAAAGGUGCAAGACCUGGAGAAUCGCUUAACCAAGCAGAAAGAGGAAAUGGAAUUCAAAGAGCAAAAACAGGACGUUUUAAAUAAUAAAUUAAGUGACGCACUGGCCAUGGUCGAAGAGGCUCAGAAAACAAAGACAACUGAAAGUCUAAAAGCAGAGAGCCUCGCCUUGCAAUUAAAUGAAACAUUAGCUGAACUGGAAACUGCCAAGACAAAAAUGAUCAUGAUGGAAAACCAGCUAAUCCUGCAGCAGCAGAGGGUAAAGGCGCUCCAGGAUGAGCAGGAAUCGCAGAGACACGGGUUUGAAGAAGAGAUCCUGGAAUAUAAGGAGCAAAUCAAACAGCACUCCCAGACAAUUGUGAGUCUUGAGGAGAGACUCCAGAAAGUCACUCAGCACCAUAAAAAAAUAGAAGGCGAGAUUGCAACGUUGAAGGACAACGAUCCAGCCCACAAGGAAGAAAGGCCUCAAGACCCUCCGGUGGCUCCCACGACGGACAGCAGUGCCAAAGACAUGGCAUGCGAACACCUGAUAGACGACUUACUGGCUGCUCAGAAGGAAAUCCUGUCCCAGCAGGAGGUCAUCAUGAAGUUAAGGAAAGACCUCACCGAAGCCCACAGCAGAAUGUCAGAUUUAAGAGGGGAGCUGAAUGAGAAGCAGAAGACGGAACUGGAGCGGAACGUGGCACUGGUCCAGCAGCAGAGCAAGGAGCUGAGUGUGCUCAGGGAGAAGAUGGUCCAGAUGAGCAGCCUGGUGGAAAAGAAAGACCGGGAGCUGAAGGCCCUCAAGGAGGCACUCAGGGCUUCCCAAGAGAAACACAGUCUCCAGCUGAACACAGAGAAGGAACAGAAGCCCAGGAAGAAGACCCAGACGCGUGACACCUCUGUGCAGAUAGAGCCAGUCCACACCAACGUCUUCUCCAGCAGCCAAGAGGAGCCGUCCUUCAGCGACCUAGGGGUCAAGUGCAAAGGGUCCCGGCAUGAGGAGGUCAUCCAGCGUCAGAAAAAGGCCUUAUCUGAACUUCGAGCACGAAUUAAAGAACUUGAGAAGGCCCGCUCGCCAGGUCAUAAACACCACCUGAAUGAAUCAGUUCUAGAUUUAAAGAACCUCAGAAUGGAAAACAAUGUCCAGAAAAUACUGUUGGAUGCAAAACCGGAUUUGCCAACUCUCUCAAGAAUAGAGAUCCUAGCGCCUCAGAAUGGCCUUUGCAACGCAAGGUUCAGCUCAGCCAUGGAGAAGUCAGGGAAGAUGGACGUGGCUGAGGCUUUAGAGCUCAGUGAAAAGCUGUACCUGGAGAUGAGCAAAACCCUCGGAAGUCUGAUGAACAUCAAGGACAUGUCUGGCCACGUGUCCAUGAAAUAUCUCUCCCCCAAAGAGAGGGAGAGGGUCAACCAGCUUCGACAGAGGGACCUCGACCUGGUGUUUGAAAAGAUCACCCAACUCAAGAACCGGCUAGAGAGGAAAGAGGAGCUGUUGAGAGGAUACGAAAAGGAUAUUGAACAGCUCAGGCGGAGCAAAGUGUCCGUUGAGAUGUACCAGUCGCAGGUGGCAAAGCUGGAGGAUGAUAUCUACAAAGAGGUGGAAGAAAAGGCCCUGCUGAAGGAGGCCCUGGAACGCACGGAGCACCAGCUGUGCCAGGAGAAGAGGAUCAACAGGGCCAUCCGGCAGCAGAAGGAGCGUGCAGAGGAGCAUGAACCGAGAAACACAAAAGAAUCGACACCUUGCAACUGUGCCUUCAAAGAGAAAGACAGGCAGAGACGCGUAUUUGUAGAGAUGGUGAAGAACAGGAUGCAGAACUCGAAUUCCCAGAAAGUAGAGGGAAGCUCUCAGGAAGCUUGAACGCAAAACACAUUUUGGUUGAAUAAGAGAGACUUAUUGAACAAAUUUGAUAAAAGGCCACAGUUAUUCUGAAACAAAAUUAUCAUUAGAAGAACUGAAGAUACUCUAUGCAGGGGACAUUCUUGGAAAAUAGAAGCCUCUUCUUAACUGACACCAUUGUCCGAAGACUACUAGAAGGUGGCCGCUGCUCUGGAUGUUAGGAGGGUAGAGAGUGUCCCCAGGGUCUCCCUGGACCUGAGACAUUUGCCACCUGAAAGUGGGAAUGAAGGGGAGGCCCGUUACUUAAUCAUCCACACACUUGGGAGAGACUGGAGCAGGCAGACACCGCCCGCUGCCAGGUGUGGCUGAUAAUGACAUGGAGAUGUAAAUGACAGUGUUGACACUGGAAUGCGCCCUGGAUGUAGGGAUAUUGUGGUCCUCUUAGAUGUGAAGCCCCCUGCAAUUUUAGGCUCGACAGAAUGGGGGCAGUUGGUGCUUUGCCUGAGAAUAGAGUGACCUUCUUUAUCCAGCCCCCCAGACAUGGCUUGAGAAAAAAGUCCAUUUUUCUUUGAUGCAAAAGGCAAAGGAGUUUGAUGUUUGGACCUCCUUGGUGCAAAAAGGUUUCCUCCAGGUACCUUGCAACAUGUAGCUUGGGGUCUCUGUCCUUUGAGUCCUUAAGGUGAUGGAGUGAGUCAUCGUGACCACCCCGAGGAAGAUGGAACAUGGACAAUCCAGCCUUUCCGACUUGUAUGCUCAUAAAAAAAGUGUCCAUCGCUGGUAAGCUUC